Molecule: ribosomal RNA, 494 nt
Filed under: uncultured bacterium
Lineage: Bacteria
Description: partial 16S ribosomal RNA
Rfam family: Bacterial small subunit ribosomal RNA
Source: RNAcentral
GACGAACGCUGGCGGCGUGCUUAACACAUGCAAGUCGAACGGAAAGGCCUGCUUUCCCUUGUGGAUUGCGGGUACUCGAGUGGCGAACGGGUGAGUAACACGUGCGUGAUCUGCCCCCAACUUGGGUAUAAGCCUGGGAAACUGGGUCUAAUUCCCGAUAGGACUGCAGGGUGGUGCCUGUGGUGGAAAACGAUGUUCUAGUGGUUGGGGAUGAGCUCGCGGCCUAUCAGCUUGUUGGUGGGGUAAUGGCCUACCAAGGCGGCGACGGGUAGCCGGCCUGGGAGGGUGGACGGGCGCAGUGGGACUGAGAUACGGCCCAGACGCCUACGGGAGGCAGCAGUGGGGAAUAUGGCACAAGGGGCGGAAGCCUGAGGCAGCGACGCCGCGGGGGGGAUGACGGCCGUCGGGUGGUAAACUCCUUUCGACCGCGAGGAAGCCACCUGGUUGGAAGGGUGGUGACGGUAGUGGUAGAAGAAGCACCGGCUAACUACGUG